CUACGGGGUGCAGCAGUCGAGAAUCAUUCGCAAUGCGCGAAAGCGUGACGAUGCGACGCUGCGUGGAGGAUGAAGGCCCUAGGGUCGUAAACUCCUGUCAGGAGGGAAAAGCCGGCACUUGGUCAAUACCCUUGUGCCCCGAUGGUACCUCCAGAGGAAGCCACGGCUAACUCUGUGCCAGCAGCCGCGGUAAUACAGAGGUGGCGAGCGUUGUUCGGAUUUACUGGGCGUAAAGGGUGCGUAGGCGGCGUGCAAAGCUGGAUGUGAAAUCCCGGGGCUCAACCCCGGAACUGCAUCCGGAACUGGCAUGCUAGAGACCAGGAGGGGAGAGCAGAAUUCUAGGUGUAGCGGUGAAAUGCGUUGAUAUCUAGAAGAAUACCGGUGGCGAAGGCGGCUCUCUGGAAUGGUUCUGACGCUGAGGCACGAAAGCGUGGGGAGCAAACAGGAUUAGAUACCCUUGUAGUC
RNAcentral lists this ribosomal RNA (465 nucleotides) under uncultured bacterium. RNAcentral describes it as "partial 16S ribosomal RNA". It matches the Rfam family "Bacterial small subunit ribosomal RNA", at positions 339 to 795 of the family's 1533-position model. The record is from RNAcentral.